CCUACGGGUGGCAGCAGUGAGGAAUAUUGGUCAAUGGGCGCGAGCCUGAACCAGCCAAGUCGCGUGAGGGAUGACUGCCCUACGGAUUGUAAACUUCUUUUAUAAGGGAAUAAAGUCAGGGACGUGUGCCCUUUUGUGUGUACUUUAUGAAUAAGGAUCGGCUAACUCCGUGCCAGCAGCCGCGGUAAUACGGAGGAUCCGAGCGUUAUCCGGAUUUAUUGGGUUUAAAGGGGGCGUAGGUGGGUUGUUAAGUCAGUUGUGAAAGUGUGGGGCUCAACCGUAAAAUCGCAAUUGAUACUGGCAGUCUUGAGUACAGGAGAGGUAGGCGGAAUGCGCGGUGUAGCGGUGAAAUGCGUAGAUAUCGCGCAGAACUCCGAUUGCGAAGGCAGCUUACUAACUCGACACUGACACUGAGGCUCGAAAGCGUGGGUAUCAAACAGGAUUAGAUACCCGUGUAGUC
RNAcentral lists this ribosomal RNA (460 nucleotides) under uncultured bacterium. RNAcentral describes it as "partial 16S ribosomal RNA". It matches the Rfam family "Bacterial small subunit ribosomal RNA", at positions 338 to 795 of the family's 1533-position model. The record is from RNAcentral.